AGUGAACGCUGGCGGUAGGCCUAACACAUGCAAGUCGAACGGCAGCACAGUAAGAGCUUGCUCUUACGGGUGGCGAGUGGCGGACGGGUGAGGAAUACAUCGGAAUCUACUUUUUCGUGGGGGAUAACGUAGGGAAACUUACGCUAAUACCGCAUACGACCUACGGGUGAAAGCAGGGGAUCUUCGGACCUUGCGCGAUUGAAUGAGCCGAUGUCGGAUUAGCUAGUUGGCGGGGUAAAGGCCCACCAAGGCGACGAUCCGUAGCUGGUCUGAGAGGAUGAUACAGCCACAUGGAAACGAGACACGGUUCCAGACCCCUAGGGAGGGCGCAAGGGGGAUAUAUGGACAAUGGGGGCAAGCCCGAACCCAGCCAUACCGCUUGGUUAAAGAAGCCUUUCGGUUUUUAAACCCCUUUUUUGGGAAAGAAAAGCCACCGGUUAAUAACCCGGUGUUUCGGAGGGAACCAAAGAAAUAACCACCGCUUACUUCGUG
This 492-nucleotide ribosomal RNA is filed under the name uncultured bacterium. Its description in RNAcentral is "partial 16S ribosomal RNA". It matches the Rfam family "Bacterial small subunit ribosomal RNA", at positions 29 to 507 of the family's 1533-position model. The record is from RNAcentral.